RNAcentral lists this ribosomal RNA (399 nucleotides) under uncultured bacterium. Its description in RNAcentral is "bacterial SSU rRNA". It matches the Rfam family "Bacterial small subunit ribosomal RNA", at positions 28 to 429 of the family's 1533-position model. The record is from RNAcentral.
GACGAACGCUGGCGGCGUGCUUAACACAUGCAAGUCGAGCGGUAAGGCCCUUUCGGGGGUACGACGAGCGGCGAACGGGUGAGUAACACGUGGGUGACCUGCCCUCCAGCUCUGGGAGUAAGCCUGGGAAACCGGGUCUAAUACCGGAUAUGACUCCAUGACGCAUGUUGUGGGGUGGAAAGCCUUGUGCGGCUGAGGAUGGGCCCGCGGCCUAUCAGCUUGUUGGUGGGGUGAUGGCCUACCAAGGCGACGACGGGUAGCCGGCCUGAGAGGGCGACCGGCCACACUGGGACUGAGACACGGCCCAGACUCCUACGGGAGGCAGCAGUGGGGAAUCUUGCGCAAUGGGCGAAAGCCUGACGCAGCGACGCCGCGUGAGGGAUGACGGCCUGGUGUAAC